This 500-nucleotide ribosomal RNA is filed under the name uncultured bacterium. RNAcentral describes it as "partial 16S ribosomal RNA". It matches the Rfam family "Bacterial small subunit ribosomal RNA", at positions 30 to 523 of the family's 1533-position model. The record is from RNAcentral.
AUUGAACGCUGGCGGCAUGCCUUACACAUGCAAGUCGAACGGCAGCGCGGGAGCAAUCCUGGCGGUGAGUGGCGAACGGGUGAGUAAUAUAUCGGAACAUGCCCAUUAGUGGGGGAUAGCCCGGCGAAAGCCGGAUUAAUACCGCAUACGACCUGAGGGUGAAAGCGGGGGAUCGCAAGACCUCGCGCUAUUGGAGCGGCCGAUAUCAGAUUAGCUAGUUGGUGGGGUAAAGGCCUACCAAGGCAACGAUCUGUAGUUGGUCUGAGAGGACGACCAGCCACACUGGGACUGAGACACGGCCCAGACUCCUACGGGAGGCAGCAGUGGGGAAUUUUGGACAAUGGGCGCAAGCCUGAUCCAGCAAUGCCGCGUGCAGGAAGAAGGCCUUCGGGUUGUAAACUGCUUUUGUCAGGGAAGAAAUCCUUUGGGCUAAUACCUCGGAGGGAUGACGGUACCUGAAGAAUAAGCACCGGCUAACUACGUGCCAGCCGCCGCGGUAA